This 348-nucleotide unclassified non-coding RNA is filed under the name soil metagenome. Its description in RNAcentral is "partial contains 5.8S ribosomal RNA, internal transcribed spacer 2, and large subunit ribosomal RNA". The stretch from base 1 to 120 matches the Rfam family "5.8S ribosomal RNA", at positions 35 to 154 of the family's 154-position model. The record is from RNAcentral.
GAUGAAGAACGUAGCGAAAUGCGAUAAGUAAUGUGAAUUGCAGAAUUCAGUGAAUCAUCGAAUCUUUGAACGCACAUUGCGCCCGCCAGUAUUCUGGCGGGCAUGCCUGUCUGAGCGUCAUUUCAACCCUCAUGCCCCUAGGGCGUGGUGUUGGGGAUCGGCCAAAGCCCGCGAGGGACGGCCGGCCCCUAAAUCUAGUGGCGGACCCGUCGUGGCCUCCUCUGCGAAGUAGUGAUAUUCCGCAUCGGAGAGCGACGAGCCCCUGCCGUUAAACCCCCAACUUUCCAAGGUUGACCUCAGAUCAGAUAGGAAUACCCGCUGAACUUAAGCAUAUCAAUAAGCGGAGGA